UAGGGAAUAUUGCGCAAUGGGCGAAAGCCUGACGCAGCCACGCCGCGUGAGUGAAGAAGGCCUUCGGGUUGUAAAGCUCUGUCGUCUAGGAAAAACGAGUAGUCGGGGAAAGUUCGAUUACUGUGAUUGUACUAGAGAAGGAAGCACCGGCUAACUCUGUGCCAGCAGCCGCGGUAAUACAGAGGGUGCAAGCGUUGUUCGGAAUUACUGGGCGUAAAGCGUGCGUAGGCUGUAUUGAGAGUCACAGGUGAAAUCCCAGAGCUUAACUCUGGAACUGCCCGUGAGACCUCAGUACUAGAGUGUGAAAGGGGACAUUGGAAUUCCAAGUGUAGCGGUGAAAUGCGUAGAGAUUUGGAGGAACACCGGUGGCGAAGGCGGAUGUCUGGUUCACAACUGACGC
RNAcentral lists this ribosomal RNA (400 nucleotides) under uncultured bacterium. Its description in RNAcentral is "bacterial SSU rRNA". It matches the Rfam family "Bacterial small subunit ribosomal RNA", at positions 355 to 746 of the family's 1533-position model. The record is from RNAcentral.